Molecule: non-coding RNA, 31 nt
Filed under: unclassified sequences
Description: S4-Bacteroidia ribosomal protein leader
Rfam family: S4-Bacteroidia ribosomal protein leader
Source: RNAcentral
GAUUGUAAUUUCUUCUCUACAGUCGCGGCUG